AAAUUUGUCUAUCAAUUAGCUUUUGAUACCGAAUACUUGAGUUUUGAUACAACUUGAUGAUAAAAAACCUUUAAAUUGUAUAUCUGUGUGAUACAUACAUUUAAGUGUCUUUUGAAUGGAUGUGCAAUACUAGAUCUGAUUUUUGUGUUGGCUGGGUACAUUGUUCAAUAGGUAUGGGUUUAGUAAAGAAGUUGUUGAAUACCCUGGUAUGUUUCUCAUACCAAAAAGAUCUUUAAACUUUUAAGAGAAAAAAUAUUGUGAUUAAUUCUUCAUUAUUUUGUUACUGAGAAAUGCAAUGUACUUAAGGUGAGUAAAAAAAAUAUAUAUUCUGCUAAAGAAGAGGAAUAUACAAAGAAAAUAAGGGAACUGGGCCCAUUGACAUCAGAUGCAUUUGAGACGUACAAAAGGAGGAAUAUCAAAGAAUUGCAUAAAGCGUUGCACAGGUGCCAUGAUCAACUGCAGCAGUUCAGUCAUGUAAACAAGAAAGCACUUGACUAGUAUAUAAAUUUUACAGAACAACGAGAGGAACUUCAGAAAAGGCAAGCUAAACUUGAUGCAGGAGAUGAGAAAAUUAGAGAGCUAAUAUCUGUACAUGAUCAACGGAAGGAUGAAUCAAUAGAGCGCACUUUCAAAGGUGUUGCUAGGCAUUUUCGAGAAGUGUUUUCUGAACUCGUACCGAGGGGUCAUGGUCAUCUGGUUAUGAUGAAGAAGAAGGAUGGUGGUCACGAUGAUGACGAGGAUGAUGAAGAUGGUCCUCGUAAAGCAAACCCAUAGGGUAGAGUAGAAAAGUACAUUGGAGUGAAAGUGAAGGCAAGUGCAUUUCUGCUGUGCCCUUUUUACUUAUGAUUUAAAUGUUUUUUCCAGUUCAUUUAUUGGUCUAACAUUGCAGGCAAGUGUACAAUUUUUUUGUUUGAUGUGCAUCAGGUGAACUUGAUUGACUGGUUUGAGGGAAUAGUAAUAAGUCGUCGCAGCGAUGAGCUAGUCAAACGGAUAAAUACAUUUUUCUAGGAUUAAUAUAAGGACUAAGUUCUUUAUGUACAUAGUAUACUUUUUCUUUUCUUUUUUAUAUGGAAUGUUUAUAAAGUUUAAGUGUUAUAAGUAUUUUUUCUUUUUCUA
Non-coding RNA from Arachis ipaensis, 1116 nucleotides. The record is from RefSeq and is a predicted model, not a curated record. Lineage: Eukaryota; Viridiplantae; Streptophyta; Magnoliopsida; Fabales; Fabaceae.